AUACGUAGGUGACAAGCGUUAUCCGGAUUUACUGGGCGUAAAGGGCGUGUAGGCGGUCUUGCAAGUCAGAAGUGAAAUUCCUGAGCUCAACUCGGGCGCUGCUUCUGAAACUGCAGGACUUGAGUGCUGGAGGGGAUAGCGGAAUUCCUAGUGGAGCGGUAAAAUGCGCAGAUAUUAGGAAGAACACCGGUGGCGAAGGCGGCUAUCUGGACAGUAACUGACGCUGAGGCGCGAAAGUGUGGGGAGCAAACAGGAUUAGAUACCCUGGUAGUCCACACUGUAAACGAUGAAUGCUAGGUGUAAGAGGUAUCGACCCCUUUUGUGCCGGAGUCAACACAAUAAGCAUUCCGCCUGGGGAGUACGGCCGCAAGGUUGAAACUCAAAGGAAUUGACGGGG
Molecule: ribosomal RNA, 397 nt
Filed under: uncultured bacterium
Lineage: Bacteria
Description: partial 16S ribosomal RNA
Rfam family: Bacterial small subunit ribosomal RNA
Source: RNAcentral